UACGAAGGGUGCAAGCGUUACUCGGAAUUACUGGGCGUAAAGGGUGCGUAGGUGGUUUGUUAAGUCUGCUGUGAAAUCCCCGGGCUCAACCUGGGAAUGGCAGUGGAUACUGGCAAGCUAGAGUGCGGUAGGGGCGGAGGGAAUUCUCGGUGGAGCGGUGAAAUGCAUAGAUAUCGGGAAGAACACCAACGGCGAAAGCACUCCGCUGGGCCGAAAACUGACACUGACAGACGAGAGCUAGGGGAGCGAAUGGG
Molecule: ribosomal RNA, 254 nt
Filed under: uncultured prokaryote
Description: partial 16S ribosomal RNA
Rfam family: Bacterial small subunit ribosomal RNA
Source: RNAcentral